CAGUCGCCGCGGUAAAACGUAGGGUGCAAGCGUUAAUCGGAAUUACUGGGCGUAAAGCGUGCGCAGGCGGUUUUGUAAGACAGAGGUGAAAUCCCCGGGCUCAACCUGGGAACUGCCUUUGUGACUGCAAGGCUAGAGUACGGCAGAGGGGGAUGGAAUUCCGCGUGUAGCAGUGAAAUGCGUAGAUAUGCGGAGGAACACCGAUGGCGAAGGCAAUCCCCUGGGCCUGUACUGACGCUCAUGCACGAAAGCGUGGGGAGCAAACAGGAUUAGAUACCCGAGUAGUCCCUGUCUCUUAUAC
RNAcentral lists this ribosomal RNA (301 nucleotides) under uncultured bacterium. RNAcentral's name for it is "partial 16S ribosomal RNA". It matches the Rfam family "Bacterial small subunit ribosomal RNA", at positions 509 to 807 of the family's 1533-position model. The record is from RNAcentral.